GAUGAACGCUGGCGGCGUGCCUAAUACAUGCAAGUCGAGCGAACAGACGAGGAGCUUGCUCCUCUGACGUUAGCGGCGGACGGGUGAGUAACACGUGGAUAACCUACCUAUAAGACUGGGAUAACUUCGGGAAACCGGAGCUAAUACCGGAUAAUAUAUUGAACCGCAUGGUUCAAUAGUGAAAGACGGUUUUGCUGUCACUUAUAGAUGGAUCCGCGCCGCAUUAGCUAGUUGGUAAGGUAACGGCUUACCAAGGCAACGAUGCGUAGCCGACCUGAGAGGGGGAUAGGCCACACGGGAACUGAGACACGGUCCAGACUCCUACGGGAGGCAGAAGUAGGGAAUCUUCCGCAAUGGGCGAAAGCCUGACGGAGCAACGCCGCGUGAGUGAUGAAGGUCUUCGGAUCGUAAAACUCUGUUAUUAGGGAAGAACAAAUGUGUAAGUAACUAUGCACGUCUUGACGGUACCUAAUCAGAAAGCCACGGCUAACUACGUG
This 497-nucleotide ribosomal RNA is filed under the name uncultured bacterium. Its description in RNAcentral is "partial 16S ribosomal RNA". It matches the Rfam family "Bacterial small subunit ribosomal RNA", at positions 28 to 507 of the family's 1533-position model. The record is from RNAcentral.